GAUGAAGAACGCAGCGAAAUGCGAUACGUAAUGUGAAUUGCAGAAUUCAGUGAAUCAUCGAGUCUUUGAACGCACAUUGCGCCCGCCAGUAUUCUGGCGGGCAUGCCUGUUCGAGCGUCAUUUCAACCCUCAAGCCCCCGGGCUUGGUGUUGGGGAUCGGCGUGCCCUCGCGGCGCGCCGUCCCCUAAAUCUAGUGGCGGUCUCGCUGUAGCUUCCUCUGCGUAGUAGCAACACUCGCACUGGAUCGCAGCGCGGCCACGCCGUUAAACCCCCCACUUCUGAAAGUUUGACCUCGGAUCAGGUAGGAAUACCCGCUGAACUUAAGCAUAUCAAUAAGCGGAGGA
RNAcentral lists this unclassified non-coding RNA (344 nucleotides) under soil metagenome. RNAcentral describes it as "partial contains 5.8S ribosomal RNA, internal transcribed spacer 2, and large subunit ribosomal RNA". The stretch from base 1 to 120 matches the Rfam family "5.8S ribosomal RNA", at positions 35 to 154 of the family's 154-position model. The record is from RNAcentral.